Molecule: long non-coding RNA, 884 nt
Organism: Symphalangus syndactylus (siamang)
Lineage: Eukaryota; Metazoa; Chordata; Mammalia; Primates; Hylobatidae
Source: RefSeq, a predicted model, not a curated record
GGCUCGCGCCCGCUUCUCCCGCUUUACGGCUGCUGAAAACCCGGCCCGGCAGCCGUACCGCAGACGAGCCCGCGCCCGCGCCCGCGCCCGCGCCGCUCAGGAGGCCGAGGGAAGAAAAGGAUAAUUUAAAUGAAAUUUAGUUUCUAUAAAGAAAACGAUUAAAAACAAGUUGCUGCUGAUACUGAAUCCAGAGGUGAACAGAUUUCCCCUCCCUAAUAAUACAACCACAGCAACAGCAGCUGUGACUGAGGAGAAACCACAACUAACAUCUCUUCAAGAGGGGACCCCCUGAUUCAACAGGCAUUAUUCAUUAUCUGAAGCCUGGGAAGGAGACUGAUAGACUAAGAACCUUGGCUGAUCCUCUGGAGACAGACUGCUCAUUAAUCUUGAGAUGGACAAAGCUCCAUAAGCCUUCCAAUGCUCUUCUGGCAAUACGGCCUUGAAUUAUAUUCUUUUCUAACCUGGCCUUCCAUAUGUAUUUUCUAGGUCCCUAAAGAGGAGAAGGGCAAAUAGGGAAUUGUGUUUGGAUUGGCUGGACAAAUAGAAAAGAACGGUGCAUGUUAGAUAAGAUCACAGUAGACUACAAAAAUAUUUCUGAAUUUAUCAUUCUACAGUAAUGUGUUAGUAUGAGCAUUCAAUAUAACCAUCUGGUAUGGCAUAAUGAGUUCAGAGGGCAUCCCUAUUGACUCGGGUAAAGGAAAACUUGUCAUCUGAAGUUGGUAACACACCUGAUGGAUGGAGCAUGAAAUGAAAACUUCCCAUCAUCUUUCUUAGAAGGGAACCUGAUGCUUGCUUGGAUUAGUUAAAUGGACCAAAACAGAAAUACAAAGUUCACCUUGCACACUUAAAGGCCACUGCAGAAAUUUUUGAUACUAUCUAAAGAC